GAUGAACGCUGGCGGCGUGCCUAAUACAUGCAAGUCGAGCGAACGGACGAGAAGCUUGCUUCUCUGAUGUUAGCGGCGGACGGGUGAGUAACACGUGGAUAACCUACCUAUAAGACUGGGAUAACUUCGGGAAACCGUAGCUAAUACCGGAUAAUAUUUUGAACCGCAUGGUUCAAAAGUGAAAGACGGUCUUGCUGUCACUUAUAGAUGGAUCCGCGCUGCAUUAGCUAGUUGGUAAGGUAACGGCUUACCAAGGCAACGAUGCAUAGCCGACCUGAGAGGGUGAUCGGCCACACUGGAACUGAGACACGGUCCAGACUCCUACGGGAGGCAGCAGUAGGGAAUCUUCCGCAAUGGGCGAAAGCCUGACGGAGCAACGCCGCGUGAGUGAUGAAGGUCGUCGGAUCGUAAAACUCUGUUAUUAGGGAAGAACAUAUGUGUAAGUAACUGUGCACAUCGUGACGGUACCUAAUCAGAAAGCCACGGCUAACUACG
RNAcentral lists this ribosomal RNA (495 nucleotides) under uncultured bacterium. Its description in RNAcentral is "partial 16S ribosomal RNA". It matches the Rfam family "Bacterial small subunit ribosomal RNA", at positions 28 to 505 of the family's 1533-position model. The record is from RNAcentral.